AUUGAACGCUGGCGGCAGGCCUAACACAUGCAAGUCGAACGGUAACAGGAAGCAGCUUGCUGCUUUGCUGACGAGUGGCGGACGGGUGAGUAAUGUCUGGGAAACUGCCUGAUGGAGGGGGAUAACUACUGGAAACGGUAGCUAAUACCGCAUAACGUCGCAAGACCAAAGAGGGGGGACCUUCGGGCCUCUUGCCAUCGGAUGUGCCCAGAUGGGAUUAGCUAGUAGGUGGGGUAACGGCUCACCUAGGCGACGAUCCCUAGCUGGUCUGAGAGGAUGACCAGCCACACUGGAACUGAGACACGGUCCAGACUCCUACGGGAGGCAGCAGUGGGAAUAUUGGCACAAUGGGCGCAAGCCUGAUGCAGCCAUGCCGCGUGUAUGAAGAAGGCCUCGGGUUGUAAGUAC
Molecule: ribosomal RNA, 408 nt
Filed under: uncultured bacterium
Lineage: Bacteria
Description: bacterial SSU rRNA
Rfam family: Bacterial small subunit ribosomal RNA
Source: RNAcentral